Small nuclear RNA from Panthera pardus (leopard), 120 nucleotides. Its record names the gene U4. It matches the Rfam family "U4 spliceosomal RNA". From Rfam's summary of the family: U4 small nuclear RNA (U4 snRNA) is a component of the major U2-dependent spliceosome. The structure of U4 snRNA from yeast and human has been reported. The record is from Ensembl. NCBI's taxonomy places the organism in Eukaryota, Metazoa, Chordata, Mammalia, Carnivora, Felidae.
AGCUUUGCGCAGUGGCAGUAUCGUAGCCAAUGAGGUUUAUCCGAGGCGCGAUUAUUGCUAAUUGAAAACUUUUCCUAAAAAUAGACCCAAAAGGUUAUAUUUGUGCCCAGUGCAGACAUG